This is a long non-coding RNA of Peromyscus eremicus (cactus mouse), 1024 nucleotides long. RefSeq lists it as uncharacterized. The record is from RefSeq and is a predicted model, not a curated record. The transcript is spliced from 2 exons. NCBI's taxonomy places the organism in Eukaryota, Metazoa, Chordata, Mammalia, Rodentia, Cricetidae.
CCCCAACCCUAUAACAAACUACGCCAAGUGUACGGAGCAGAGCUUAGGGCGAAGCUUCACAUCAGAUAAGGUGCCCAAGCCCAGACACAAAUGAAGUCGCUGGCAGUGGAGGAGGACACUUGCGGUUUCCGUGGCUGUCAGCACCUGCUCCCUCCAAGGAGCCCUCUCAUCCCUUCCAGUUCUAGCCACUGCCUCCCAGAACGAGACCAGACACAAGGAGGGCUGUGAACGGCCCAGAGCUCUGUGAUCGUCUGUCUGUCCUCCUCUCUGUGGACAGGGACUCUGAUGCCUCAACAACCGAUCCCAGGUGGACCUGGCAGGGACCCUCACUCAGGCAGUCUCUUUGGACUCCAGGGAAGAGCAAUGACUGCUUGGUUUUAAUCACAGCUGCUAUUUUUUCGGUGCCAACAAUGUACAGGGGCUCCGUGCAUCACUUGGAGACACAGCCCCGCAACUCCACCAGACAGGUGCAAUAAUGACAGCCACACCAUGGGCUGGGAAGCUCAGAAAGGCACCAUGCUGGUACCCCAGGUCACACAGCCAACAAGUGGGCUUGGAUCCCAGUACCACUCACUUUUCCCACUACGCUCUGCUACCACUGGUCCUCACUCAGCCCUCACCACGGUCAGCUCCUUUGUCUAGAAGAUCCCAGGUCUCCAGGGGGUCACUGCUGUCUUUGCAUGAGCCCCGCCCCACCCCAGCUGCUAUCAGAGCCAGAGAGGUGGAUGCCUAGACCCUCUCUCAGAGUCCCACACCUCCACCAGCCUGAGCUGUACAGACCACAGCUCUCAAUCAGGGACUGGGGUACCUGGCAGAUUUCACAGGACUGUCCUUUCCUCUGGUCAGUGUCGGGGGUCAAAAAGGGGUGUGGCUGGGGCUCCUCUAGACCCCACUCCUGUGACCAAGAAAAUCUCACCAGCUGCAUCCAAUGGCAACCUUGACCCUGUUACUCCGAUGUCUUUGUAGGAGUAUUUUUAGCCGAACCUUUUUCUUUUCCAAAAUAAAUGUGAAUUGUAAAAAUAAA